RNAcentral lists this ribosomal RNA (465 nucleotides) under uncultured bacterium. RNAcentral's name for it is "partial 16S ribosomal RNA". It matches the Rfam family "Bacterial small subunit ribosomal RNA", at positions 28 to 507 of the family's 1533-position model. The record is from RNAcentral.
GACGAACGCUGGCGGUGUGCUUAACACAUGCAAGUCGAACGGUAAGGCCCUUUCGGGGGUACACGAGUGGCGAACGGGUGAGUAACACGUGGGUAACCUGCCCUCAUCUCUGGGAUAACAGUCGGAAACGGUUGCUAAUACCGGAUAUGAGCCUGCAAGGCAUCUUGUGGGUUGGAAAGAUUUUUUGGUUGGGGAUGGACUCGCGGCCUAUCAGCUUGUUGGUGAGGUAGUGGCUCACCAAGGCUUCGACGGGUAGCCGGCCUGAGAGGGCGACCGGCCACAUUGGGACUAAGAUACGGCCCAAACUCCUACGGGAGGCAGCAGUGGGGAAUAUUGCACAAUGGACGGAAGUCUGAUGCAGCAACGCCGCGUGCGGGAUGACGGCCUUCGGGUUGUAAACCGCUUUCAAUUGUGACGAAGCUUUUUGUGACGGUAGCAGUAGAAGAAGCACCGGCUAACUACGUG